GAGGUUAAGCGACUAAGCGUACACGGUGGAUGCCCUGGCAGUCAGAGGCGAUGAAGGACGUGCUAAUCUGCGAUAAGCGCCGGUAAGGUGAUAUGAACCGUUAUAACCGGCGAUUUCCGAAUGGGGAAACCCAGUGUGACUCGUCACACUAUCAUUAACUGAAUCCAUAGGUUAAUGAGGCGAACCGGGGGAACUGAAACAUCUAAGUACCCCGAGGAAAAGAAAUCAACCGAGAUUCCCCCAGUAGCGGCGAGCGAACGGGGAGGAGCCCAGAGCCUGAAUCAGCAUGUGUGUUAGUGGAAGCGUCUGGAAAGGCGCGCGAUACAGGGUGACAGCCCCGUACACAAAAGCGCAUGUGCUGUGAGCUCGAUGAGUAGGGCGGGACACGUGGUAUCCUGUCUGAAUAUGGGGGGACCAUCCUCCAAGGCUAAAUACUCCUGACUGACCGAUAGUGAACCAGUACCGUGAGGGAAAGGCGAAAAGAACCCCGGCGAGGGGAGUGAAAAAGAACCUGAAACCGUGUACGUACAAGCAGUGGGAGCACCCUUUGGGGUGUGACUGCGUACCUUUUGUAUAAUGGGUCAGCGACUUAUAUUCUGUAGCAAGGUUAACCGAAUAGGGGAGCCGGAGGGAAACCGAGUCUUAACCGGGCGUUAAGUUGCAGGGUAUAGACCCGAAACCCGGUGAUCUAGCCAUGGGCAGGUUGAAGGUUGGGUAACACUAACUGGAGGACCGAACCGACUAAUGUUGAAAAAUUAGCGGAUGACCUGUGGCUGGGGGUGAAAGGCCAAUCAAACCGGGAGAUAGCUGGUUCUCCCCGAAAGCUAUUUAGGUAGCGCCUCGUGAACUCAUCUCCGGGGGUAGAGCACUGUUUCGGCUAGGGGGCCAUCCCGGCUUACCAACCCGAUGCAAACUGCGAAUACCGGAGAAUGUUAUCACGGGAGACACACGGCGGGUGCUAACGUCCGUCGUGAAGAGGGAAACAACCCAGACCGCCAGCUAAGGUCCCAAAGUCAUGGUUAAGUGGGAAACGAUGUGGGAAGGCCCAGACAGCCAGGAUGUUGGCUUAGAAGCAGCCAUCAUUUAAAGAAAGCGUAAUAGCUCACUGGUCGAGUCGGCCUGCGCGGAAGAUGUAACGGGGCUAAACCAUGCACCGAAGCUGCGGCAGCGACGCUGAUGCGUUGUUGGGUAGGGGAGCGUUCUGUAAGCCUGUGAAGGUGGCCUGUGAGGGUUGCUGGAGGUAUCAGAAGUGCGAAUGCUGACAUAAGUAACGAUAAAGCGGGUGAAAAGCCCGCUCGCCGGAAGACCAAGGGUUCCUGUCCAACGUUAAUCGGGGCAGGGUGAGUCGACCCCUAAGGCGAGGCCGAAAGGCGUAGUCGAUGGGAAACGGGUUAAUAUUCCCGUACUUGGUGUUACUGCGAAGGGGGGACGGAGAAGGCUAUGUUGGCCGGGCGACGGUUGUCCCGGUUUAAGCGUGUAGGUGUGUGUUCCAGGUAAAUCCGGUUCACUUUAACACUGAGGCGUGAUGACGAGGCACUACGGUGCUGAAGCAACAAAUGCCCUGCUUCCAGGAAAAGCCUCUAAGCAUCAGGUAACAUCAAAUCGUACCCCAAACCGACACAGGUGGUCAGGUAGAGAAUACCAAGGCGCUUGAGAGAACUCGGGUGAAGGAACUAGGCAAAAUGGUGCCGUAACU
Molecule: ribosomal RNA, 1696 nt
Filed under: Salmonella enterica
Lineage: Bacteria; Pseudomonadati; Pseudomonadota; Gammaproteobacteria; Enterobacterales; Enterobacteriaceae
Description: partial 23S ribosomal RNA
Rfam family: Bacterial large subunit ribosomal RNA
Source: RNAcentral